CCUACGGGAGGCAGCAGUGGGGAAUAUUGGACAAUGGGGGGAACCCUGAUCCAGCCAUGCCGCGUGUGUGAAGAAGGCCCUCGGGUUGUAAAGCACUUUCAGUGAGGAAGAACGCCUGGUGGUUAAUACCCAUCAGGAAAGACAUCACUCACAGAAGAAGCACCGGCUAACUCCGUGCCAGCAGCCGCGGUAAUACGCAGGGUGCGAGCGUUAAUCGGAAUUACUGGGCGUAAAGCGCGCGUAGGUGGCUUGAUAAGCCGGUUGUGAAAGCCCCGGGCUCAACCUGGGAACGGCAUCCGGAACUGUCAAGCUAGAGUGCAGGAGAGGAAGGUAGAAUUCCCGGUGUAGCGGUGAAAUGCGUAGAGAUCGGGAGGAAUACCAGUGGCGAAGGCGGCCUUCUGGACUGACACUGACACUGAGGUGCGAAAGCGUGGGUAGCAAACAGGAUUAGAUACCCCGGUAGUC
Molecule: ribosomal RNA, 465 nt
Filed under: Vreelandella stevensii
Lineage: Bacteria; Pseudomonadati; Pseudomonadota; Gammaproteobacteria; Oceanospirillales; Halomonadaceae
Description: partial 16S ribosomal RNA
Rfam family: Bacterial small subunit ribosomal RNA
Source: RNAcentral